GCAAGUCGAACGAACGACCUCGGGCUUGCCCGGGGAAGUGAGUGGCGAACGGCUGAGUAACGCGUAGGUGACCUGCCCAGAAGUGGGGAAUAACUGCCCGAAAGGGUGGCUAAUACCGCAUAUGGUUAUGAAUUCAGUUUCAUGUCCAAAGCCUUCGGGCGCUACUGGAGGGGCCUGCGUUCGAUUAGCUCGUUGGUGAGGUAACGGCUCACCAAGGCGACGAUCGAUAGGUGGUCUGAGAGGAUGAUC
Molecule: ribosomal RNA, 249 nt
Filed under: uncultured bacterium
Lineage: Bacteria
Description: partial 16S ribosomal RNA
Rfam family: Bacterial small subunit ribosomal RNA
Source: RNAcentral